UAAGAAGAACGACCUUCUGUAGAAGC
RNAcentral lists this non-coding RNA (26 nucleotides) under Mus musculus (house mouse). The record is from RNAcentral. Lineage: Eukaryota; Metazoa; Chordata; Mammalia; Rodentia; Muridae.